RNAcentral lists this unclassified non-coding RNA (1756 nucleotides) under uncultured fungus. RNAcentral's name for it is "sequence contains 18S rRNA gene, ITS1, 5.8S rRNA gene, ITS2, 28S rRNA gene". The stretch from base 742 to 1756 matches the Rfam family "Eukaryotic large subunit ribosomal RNA", at positions 1 to 961 of the family's 3401-position model. The record is from RNAcentral. Lineage: Eukaryota; Fungi.
GGAAGGAUCAUUAACACGUAUCCAACGUUAAAACCCCCCGUGAAUAUUAAUCGUGCUCUUGCAGCCUCCCAACAAAGCAAUCUCUGGUAAAUCACGUCGAACGGUUUGAUUCAGAGACCUCUGGGUUGGUGAUGACAGCUUUUGCGAUUGCUGCAAUCGAGCGCUAGGAUCAGUGGUUUGGUUUCCCCUCAAACCACUUCAAUGAAUGUCAGUGUCAUUGAAGUGUGAUGGGGAGGUCGCAUAACGCACGCUGUAGGCCCACAGGCCGGCGUCCAAAUCACCGGGCGCAAGCCCCCCUAAAACCACAUGUCAGCGUAGGCCCUUCUGUCGUGGUUGGGUGUAAAAACGAACAACUGUUAACAAUGGAUAUCUUGGUUCUCGCAACGAUGAAGAACGCAGCGAAAUGCGAUGCGUAAUGCGAAUUGCAGAAUUCAGUGAAUCAUCGAAUCUUUGAACGCAAAUUGCGCUCUCGGGUUACCCCCAAGAGCACACCUCUCUGAGUGUCGGUUUAACCAAAUGUCACCAAUUUAUUGGUGUACGACAGACUGAGGGUAAGGGGUUUCGGCCUCUUUCCCUUUAAAACUCAGCCGCACGACUGUGUGUGUUCGUGGCAAGUUGCUUUCACUUAAUUGUGAAUCCAAUCCACAAACCCUAUGUCACGUAGCCAAAGAAACAAAUGAACAAAAUUGUUGACUUGAGAAGCUUGCUUCGAGAGUUGAUGGUCUUGGGCAUCUAUGAAUUAGACCUCAGAUGAAGUGGGAAGACCCCCUGAAUUUAAGCAUAUUAUUAAGGGGAGGAAAAGAAACUAACAAGGAUUCCCCUAGUAACGGCGAGUGAAGCGGGAAGAGCUCAAAUUUAAAAUCCGCUGGUCUAACCGCCUGUGGAGUUGUAAUCUAGAGAGGCUCUCUCAGUGCCAGCCUGGUUAUAAAGUCCCUUGAAACGGGGCAUCAAAGAGGGUGAGAAUCCCGUAUUUGAGCCGGAGCUAAGUACGUACGAGGAGCUUUCCAAGAGUCGCGUUGCUUGGGAGUGCAGCGCUAAAUGGGUGGUAAAGUUCAUCUAAAGCUAAAUACUGGCGAGAGACCGAUAGCGAACAAGUACCGUGAGGGAAAGAUGAAAAGAACUUUGAAAAGAGAGUUAAAAAGUACUUGAAACUUCAUUCGCUUUUCCUUCGGGAGGGGUUACUUGAGGCUAAGAAGGGUGCACCACUUAGUGGUCUCGCAGAAACUGCGUGAGUUGGUGCAUUUCUUCGGAUUUGUUUAACUUGCGCGAUCUACGUUGUCGCUGGUGAGGAGUGAUAACCCCCCGCUUUCGGGCGUCGGUACUCUGAGGUCUGUUUGCCCUAGCGCGUGAGAGAACAAAGUUCUGUCUGUGCGAAAGGUAAAUACUGCCUUGGAUGUGCCAGAUGGUGGGUUCGCGGUGCAGACGAAAUGGUUGUCUUCCACCCGUCUUGAACACGGACCAAGGAGUCUAACAUAUACGCGAGUAUUUUGAUGCGUAAUGAAAGUAAAGAGCCGCAAGGCUUGAGGUAGGAAUCCUGCCCUCGGGUGGGAGGCACUAUCGACCGAUCGUUCGCUUGCGGAAGAUUUGAGUAAUAGCAUAUCUGUUGGGACCCGAAAGAUGGUGAUCUAUGCCUGAACAGGGUGAAGCCAGGGGAAACUCUGGUGGAAGCUCGUAGCGAUACUGACGUGCAAAUCGUUCGUCUGAUUUGGGUAUAGGGGCGAAAGACUAAUCGAACCAUCUAGUAGCUGGUUCCCUC